AAAAUUUGUCAAUCUAAAAAAGGUGAACAAAAUUUAUCAAUCACCCAAAAAGCUUAUGAUUUACAAAAUAUUUCAUUUUUUAACAAUCAUGAAACAAAUUCUGAUUUGGAAAAUCAAAUUCCAAAUCAGAUACCUGUUAUCUCAUCAUGUCAGAAAUGUACUCCAUGUUGGCAGCGGGCUUCUGAUGAUGAAAAUCAAAGUCCAUAUGGUAUAACAACUGUUUCAACGUAUGACAAACAUGAAACUAAUAGCCCCCUCGUGGAUUUUAAUUUUGAAAAUCAAAGCCCAUUAAAAAGAACUUCUUACUCAUCUUAUGAUUAAGAUAAACCAACUUAUAUGGGAACUUCGGAUUUUGGAAGUCAAAAUCCUAUCACUGUUUCCUUUGUAUCAAUCUCUGUAGAAGGUGAAAGGAGUUGCCUCAAUGGAACACCUUCCGAUUUUGAAAAUCAAAAUCAACAUUACAACACUGAUUAUUUAUUACCUGGAAAUUAUUGGAAUACCUCCAUGGCUUCCAAUAUUCAUGAAACUAAAAUUCAACCAUUAGCAAGUGAACAAGAACACUGAUCUAUCAAUCACUGAAGGACAUCUGAGCCCCUUGAUGGACUCUGAUAUAGGAGAACAUUCAUUUUCUGAGGUGAGAAACAGCAUGCUUGAUGAAAUGUUCUUGAUUUUAUUCAUGUGAAGAAUGGGAAGCACACUCAGAGCUUAUGCUUGCUUUACUGUGUUUCUUUUGGCAGAUGGAUUCUCAACCGCUGAGAGAGAU
This 763-nucleotide long non-coding RNA is filed under the name Manihot esculenta (cassava). Its description in RNAcentral is "long non-coding RNA (MESC_LNC000652)". Lineage: Eukaryota; Viridiplantae; Streptophyta; Magnoliopsida; Malpighiales; Euphorbiaceae. The record is from RNAcentral.